CAGCCGUAAACUAUGCGCGUUAGGUGUAUCGGUGACCACGAGUCACCGAGGUGCCGAAGGGAAACCGUGAAACGUGCCGCCUGGGAAGUACGGUCGCAAGGCUGAAACUUAAAGGAAUUGGCGGGGAGCACCACAACGGGUGGAGCCUGCGGUUUAAUUGGACUCAACGCCGGGAAGCUCACCGGAUAAGACAGCGGAAUGAUUGCCGGGCUGAAGACCCUGCAUGACUAGCUGAGAGGAGGUGCAUGGCGUAGACGUCU
This 260-nucleotide ribosomal RNA is filed under the name uncultured archaeon. RNAcentral describes it as "partial 16S ribosomal RNA". It matches the Rfam family "Archaeal small subunit ribosomal RNA", at positions 748 to 1009 of the family's 1478-position model. The record is from RNAcentral.